RNAcentral lists this ribosomal RNA (1679 nucleotides) under Hisonotus thayeri. RNAcentral's name for it is "16S ribosomal RNA". The stretch from base 91 to 1592 matches the Rfam family "Bacterial large subunit ribosomal RNA". The record is from RNAcentral. Lineage: Eukaryota; Metazoa; Chordata; Actinopteri; Siluriformes; Loricariidae.
GCCAUACAGCUAGCUUAAACACCCAGAUAUUAAUAACAACAUUCAAACAAACCUAACUUAACCACAACCACAAAACUAAAACAUUCUCCCGCCCCAGUAUGUGAGACAGAAAAGGCCCAACAGAGCAAUAAAAAAGUACCGCAAGGGAAAGCUGAAAAAGAAAUGAAACAAACCAUUUAAGCCCAAUAAAGCAGAGACUAACCCUCGUACCUUUUGCAUCAUGAUUUAGUUAGUCCCCCUGAGCAAAGAGUACUUUAGUUCAAGACCCCGAAACUAGGUGAGCUACCCCGGGACAGCCUAUUUUAGGGCCAACCCGUCUCUGUGGCAAAAGAGUGGGAAGAUCUCUGGGUAGGGGUGACAGACCUACCGAACCUAGUUAUAGCUGGUUGCCUAAAAAGUGGAUAGAAGUUCAGCCUCGCACUCCUCAACCCAUAAAUAGUCCUUACUAACCCAAGGGCCAGAGAAAUAUGCGAGAGUUAGUCAGAGGAGGUACAGCUCCUCUGAAAUGGGAAACAACCCUUUCAGGAGGUUAAAGAUUAUACUUAACAAGAUUACUGCUUCAGUGGGCCUAAAAGCAGCCACCUGAAUAGAAAGCGUUAAAGCUCAAGCAGCCCACAAUCUAUUAUACUAAUAAUUAUAUCUCAAACCCCUAGCCAUAUUAGGCCAUUCUAUGCCAACAUAGAAGUGAUACUGCUAAAAUGAGUAAUAAGAAGGACCCAUCCUUCUCCUAGCCCACGUGUAAGCUAGAUCGGACCACCCACUAGCAAUUAACGAACCCACUAAAAGAGGGCCCUGUGAUUAAAAAAAUAGCCAAGAAAAACUCACACUCCCACAUCGUUAAACCUACACUGGAGGGCACACAAGGAAAGACUAAAAGAAGAGGAAGGAACUCGGCAAACACAAGCCUCGCCUGUUUACCAAAAACAUCGCCUCCCGCAAAAAUCAAUGUAUAGGAGGUCUUGCCUGCCCAGUGACUGUAAGUUAAACGGCCGCGGUAUUUUGACCGUGCAAAGGUAGCGCAAUCACUUGUCUUUUAAUUGAAGACCUGUAUGAAUGGUGAAACGAGGGCUUAACUGUCUUCCCCCUCUAGUCAAUGAAAUUGAUCUACCCGUGCAGAAGCGGGUAUAAUUAUACAAGACGAGAAGACCCUUUGGAGCUUAAGACAAAAAACCAACUAUGUCAAAAGCCACAAAAAAAUAGUGCUAAACCAAAUAGUACUGGUUCCAGUCUUCGGUUGGGGUGACCGCGGGAGAAAACAAAGCUCCCAUGCGGACAGGGGAGUCCCCCUAAAACUAAGAAAGACAUUUCUAAGGCACAGAACAUCUGACCACAAAGAUCCGGCUUAAUGCCGAUCAACGGACCAAGUUACCCUAGGGAUAACAGCGCAAUCCCCUUCCAGAGUCCAUAUCGACAAGGGGGUUUACGACCUCGAUGUUGGAUCAGGACAUCCUAAUGGUGCAGCCGCUAUUAAGGGUUCGUUUGUUCAACGAUUAAAGUCCUACGUGAUCUGAGUUCAGACCGGAGCAAUCCAGGUCAGUUUCUAUCUGUAACGCUAUUUUUCCUAGUACGAAAGGACCGGAAAAAUGGGGCCCCUGCUACAAACACGCCCCCCUCCAACUUAAUGAAGACAACUAAAUUAAGUAAAAACAAGCACAAACCUCCAUCCGAGAUAAGGAUUU